CCUUUCUACCCCCAAAAAUACAAUUUUCCAAUUCCCACUAAUUUCUUCUACUUCCCUCUUCGUUAUUUUUCAAAUUUUCAUCUUCCCUCCCUUUCCCAUGGCCCUAACUUGAUUCCCAUCAGAUCCCUUUACAGCACUUGAAGAGAAAAGCAGUAGCCGCCACUAAGGGAUUUUAGUUGACCCGACCACCAUCGCUGCACCCUAAUGACCGUUGACCACCCUUCUUUUCCUCUAAUCUAUUGGCAUCGAAGUUGUUUGUAGAAUGGGAGAUGAAUGAGCCCGGGGCUAAGCAUCCUAAAUUCACCAUGUUGGUUCAAUCGAGACUCUUAGUUUUACCCGGUCAUUUUCUUUAUACGACCCACAAUUUGCAGGUGACCAAAAUUAACAACUUUAUGAUUUAAGAAUUUGAUGGAACUGCAAAACGGUUUGGUGCAUAAAGAAGGUAGUACAGUUUCAUCACAUUGCUACUUAUUAUUGUGACUCUAUGCUUAAGGUAAAUAAACUAAAAUGUAGAUUAGUGUGACUCUAUGCAUUUCUGUUCUGGGAAUACAACCUAUUAGAAUAUUAGACUAUAUAUAGUGGAAUAACAAAAAAUUGUAAGAGUUUAUGUAAUUUCAUUGCCACGUAGGCAGCGAGGCUUUAACUAACUAAACCCUCAAAAGUGUAUAGUGAUUUUACUAAAAAUUAAAUAAAGAAAAAAAAAUAGUGAUUGAAAUACUUGUGGACCCCAUCACCUCUAUCUCCUUCACACCGGUUAUUCCAUGAACCCCUUACCCCACCCCUUUGGCGACCCCUAAGACUAGCUGUUGUGGAAGCGAGCACCUCCGACGCGAGCCACGCUGGCAGGUGAGCGGUCGCGCACACCGCAACACCCCGGCGCGAGCGCUAGCGUGAGGAUGGUAGUAGAUGGAAUGUGGUCGUUGUGCAUUGGGGGAACCACCAAAUAGCCGUUAGACAUUUAAAAAAAAUCGAAUUUUGGUAUUUUUCCCUUAUUUAAACCCUCUAAACCUUUAUAAAAAUACCCACCAUCUCUCUUUCUUUCUGAAGCCAUUGCUCACCGACCACAACAGGGUGAUGAAGCUUCAACAAUAGCUUUAACCAGUGUCCAGUCAACGCCAGGUGGAGCGAUAUUACAGGAUGAAUCCUGGUGCUCACUUGAACCACAAUGGGUAGUCUAAUAGCGGACCAGCGCGGUAUUUGGCGCCAUUCGCUGCUGACAUGGUGGGGUGCUAAUCCAUACACAUGGUCUUGUCUCAAACAUAACUGUUAAGUUAUCUAUUUAAAAAAAGUUGAAAAAAUCUGAACAAAGUCGGCACUUUUCUACCAAGUACUCUGGAGCCAUACAUCGAUAAAAAAGGUAGUUGACAUUAAUAAAAAAAAGGUAGUUGAUGUUUGAACCUCGUCAUACAUGAUUUCGAAGGGACUUAUGGGAUCUCCAAACUCACAAGCAUAUACCAUACUGAGAGGGACUCCAAUUUUAGCUUAUAUGUUACUUAAUGUGUGGUAUCUUUACUAUCUGAUGCGUUCUAUUUGUUUAACCUAUGAGCGCUAGAGCUUGGCUGGUUGAAGUUUUUCAAGCUUGGCCUAUUUUUUAAACAAACUUAUUCUUAGGCUCUUCAGAGAGAUGUUAACCAUUGGCACAUAGAAGAGGAAAUAAAUAAAGGUGGUUUCCGUCACUUUCAUGAUUCAUGUACGGAUUUUGGUAUGAUUUUGGACCCUGAUUUUGAAAGGAAUAAUUUUCAUUGUCUAGUGAAGGUAAAUUUCUUUUUUUCUUUUAUUUUAAAGCCAAAACUUUCAUGUAUUAUGUAAGUCUGAAUGUCUAAAUUAUAGUUUAUUUUGUAGAUACAUGACACACCAGUAUCUGACUUGAAGCUAUGAUGUGUACUUUAGCGAACAAAACUAUAUCUCGCACCAAUUAUUAACAAAAGUUCAAAUUUUUGGGCAAAAAUGUUUGUAGUCAACUUGACCGGGCCGACUUCAAUCUGUGUAGUCAUAUCUUUUAAAGAUGCUACCAGGUUACUAAUUCUCUUUUUAUUUUAUUAAUGUGUGUUCAAUUUACUUCAGUUUUGUUCCAAAUUAGAAGAGAAGUAGCAAGCACCAGAGGCGGAGAAAAUUAAAUGAGAGGCGAGAACUAUGGUCUAUGGUAUUGGUUCUACGGUCUCUAAAAACCCUUUAUCAGUUGACCAUAUAUCAUUUGAAAGAAGCCAAUGACAAUGGUAUCUACUAGUAUCAUUGCUACGAAAGAGUUAAUAUGAAGAUCAUUUUAUUUGCAUGAACAUUGUGAAAGAGAUUCAUGAUUGCAAUGAAGCUUCAAGUUUUUUAUUCAAACAUGUGUUAGUUUGUAUUCUAUAUGUUUGAUAUUUAGACUUAAAUUGACACUUAUGAGACGUUUCAAUAUGUUUGGAACAUGAACUAACUUUUAAUUGAAGUGAUGAUAUUACAAUUUCU
This is a long non-coding RNA of Helianthus annuus (common sunflower), 2448 nucleotides long. RefSeq lists it as uncharacterized. Lineage: Eukaryota; Viridiplantae; Streptophyta; Magnoliopsida; Asterales; Asteraceae. The record is from RefSeq and is a predicted model, not a curated record. The transcript is spliced from 6 exons.